AAAGGAAGUUCGACGGGGGCCCGACACAAGCGGUGGAGUAUGUGGUUUAAUUCGAUGCAACGCGAAGAACCUUACCUGGUCUUGACAUCCCGGAGACCCUUAGGAAACUAGGGGGUGCUUCCAGUCUGGAAGAAUCUGGAGACAGGUGCUGCAUGGCUGUCGUCAGCUCGUGUCGUGAGAUGUUGGGUUAAGUCCCGCAACGAGCGCAACCCUUGCCUUAGUUGCCAGCAGUUCGGCUGGGCACUCUAAAGGGACUGCCGGUGUUAAACCGGAGGAAGGUGGGGAUGACGUCAAGUCCUCAUGGCCUUUAUGACCAGGGCUACACACGUACUACAAUGGCCGAUACAAAGGGCGGCGACACUGCGAGGUGAAGCCAAUCCCGUAAAAUCGGUCUCAGUCCGGAUUGGAGUCUGCAACUCGACUCCAUGAAGUUGGAAUCGCUAGUAAUCGUGGAUCAGCAUGCCACGGUGAAUACGUUCCCGGGCCUU
This 488-nucleotide ribosomal RNA is filed under the name uncultured Desulfobulbus sp. RNAcentral's name for it is "bacterial SSU rRNA". It matches the Rfam family "Bacterial small subunit ribosomal RNA", at positions 903 to 1382 of the family's 1533-position model. Lineage: Bacteria; Pseudomonadati; Thermodesulfobacteriota; Desulfobulbia; Desulfobulbales; Desulfobulbaceae. The record is from RNAcentral.